CACACACACACACUCAUACUGAGAGAGAGAAACAAAAGCUAAGAGAGAAAUGGCAGAGAUGCAGAAGAGGACCAUGACACUACUGGAUGUGAAAUCAUCCAAUCAUCUACCUCAGUUUCCUAUGUAUAUAGUUCCACCACCAGACUAAAGGCUACUAGUGUUACCUGCCAGACUGCGCUUGCUAAUCCACCCCAGCCUCACCUUGCCACCUGGCUCACUCUGCACCAACAAAACACCCUCGUUUCUACUCAGCACAGCGAGACAGUCGUUGGCACUGUGGCCCCAUAACAAGGGGGAUGGAAUCCAGUGGUCAGCUUAAACCCAGGUGUACCCUGCCCUAUGGUAGCUGGGGUAGGCUCCAGUGACCCUGAUAGGGAGAAGUGGAAAAGAAUGAAUGGAUGGAGGUUCAAAACAAUAAUGUAGGAGGGGAAGUGGAUGGAUGAAAAAUGGAUAGAUGCUUCCAUUUCUUCACUUUUAAGGAGAAUAAGCCCAACGAGAAAUGUGAUAUUAGUCAAUGAAAAAUUGUACAAUAAGACAUCACAUUUUCUGAUACAAAUGAGUAAAAAUUAUAGAAGAAACUGACUGACACUGACUGACACUGGGUUUAAAUGGAAAGGACAUUCAUGGUUUUUAGCACCAGAGUGGUACAAGGUUGCCAAUCUGUAAUAAGAUCCUUGACAAUAAUUCUUUCCACUAUGCAAUCAAAAUUAUAUGGAUGCAGUUACUUUCAGGGAUGUCAAGUCUUCCUUUAGGAAAACAAUUAUGUGACACUAAAACACAGAAAGCAAUAACUCGUAAUGUCAGUGAACGAGUGCACUAGUGCAGCUCAUCCUGACUGAACUGGAUUGCAGUUUAGAUCAUCAUGUCAUGGGGAGGAAGUAACAUGUUCAGAAAUUCAAAUAUACCAUUUCUCCUUACUUUAUACAGUACAUGAUGUAUUUAUUUGUUGCAAAAGUUUGAAACAUUUUGUGUUUUGCAUUCUACUCUUCAUUCAUUGUUUGUUCCAGUCCCAGUGACAUCUUGACAUAUUUGCAUCUUCUUCUGACCUUGUGACAUUUUUGAAAAUGUUUAUCAAAGGACACAAUAUGCAGGCACAAGGAUUGGCAGGUGGGAGCACUGACAUGAAGAUUUAAUGUAGAAGCUACACAUACCGAUGCACGAUGCCAGUAGGGGGGAUAGGAAGAUCCAAUAAAUAAAUAAAAUCCAAAAAGCAACAGGAUCUAUCCAAAAGGCAGGGAACACACAAGAAAACAGGGACAAAGAGCACACAGAGGUAAGGAUAAUAACUAACAGUUACCUCAGUAUAGACAGAGGAAAGUAAAAAUGAAAGGCUAAAAUAUCAGUCAUCCAGUGCUCAGUGAAGUUACCGAAGUAGCAGUAAUUCAAAGUUAUGCUAACUGGCUCAUGUUAGACUACUGUCAGUUUCAGCUGAUAAGGCAUGUUUGAUGUGAAGGAUAGCCAAAUGUUGCAGGGGUUGCAGUGUUGCUGCACUACCACAGAGGUUGACUCCACAAAAGAAACUGAAAUACAAUAAAAAUCAACAUUAAGUCAAUAAAAUAAUUAAUAAAAGGCAAAUUACUUCACACAAGCAGAAAUGAGAUAAAAUGAUAAUUCAGGAUCUAGACAACUGAAGCUGAGCAUAAUGAUUUUAGUGCUUUUAAAUACUAAUAAUGUUGGAGCACAUCCAAUAUGAUGGGUGAGCUCCAGCAAUUUAGAAAAGGUAAAAUUGAUGAUUCACAGAUUGGUGAGCAAUGUGCCUUGUGAUGAGUUUUUCAGUGUGUACUGUUAGGUUAAUAACAAAAAAAUCUUACUCAUCUUAAUCUUUGUAAUAAUGACAGUUUCUGUAAACAUCACUGCUCCUGUAAUAUUACUGUGUAUUCAUUCUAUUGUGUUUUUAUUACAUUAUGCUUCUGUUUGUACAAAAUAUACAUAGGUAACAGUGAGCAUGCAGUUAUAUACAGUUUUUCACUGUGUAAUCUCAUUUAUUUGAUGAAUUAUCUGUAUUUUACUUACCUUAUUUUUCA
Long non-coding RNA from Oreochromis niloticus (Nile tilapia), 2024 nucleotides. RefSeq lists it as uncharacterized. Lineage: Eukaryota; Metazoa; Chordata; Actinopteri; Cichliformes; Cichlidae. The transcript is spliced from 5 exons. The record is from RefSeq and is a predicted model, not a curated record.